Molecule: ribosomal RNA, 253 nt
Filed under: uncultured bacterium
Lineage: Bacteria
Description: partial 16S ribosomal RNA
Rfam family: Bacterial small subunit ribosomal RNA
Source: RNAcentral
UACGUAGGGUGCGAGCGUUGUCCGGAUUUAUUGGGCGUAAAGAGCUCGUAGGCGGUUUGUCGCGUCGGCUGUGAAAACUCGGGGCUCAACCCCGAGCCUGCAGUCGAUACGGGCAGACUAGAGUGCUGUAGGGGAGACUGGAAUUCCUGGUGUAGCGGUGAAAUGCGCAGAUAUCAGGAGGAACACCGGUGGCGAAGGCGGGUCUCUGGGCAGUAACUGACGCUGAGGAGCGAAAGCGUGGGGAGCAAACAGG